This 2276-nucleotide ribosomal RNA is filed under the name Simocephalus vetulus. RNAcentral describes it as "SSU rRNA". It matches the Rfam family "Eukaryotic small subunit ribosomal RNA". The record is from RNAcentral. Lineage: Eukaryota; Metazoa; Arthropoda; Branchiopoda; Diplostraca; Daphniidae.
UACCUGGUUGAUCCUGCCAGUAGCAUAUGCUUGUCUCAAAGAUUAAGCCAUGCAUGUCUAAGUACAAGCCGCUAGUCGGCGAAACCGCGAAUGGCUCAAUAAAUCAGUUAUGGUUCCUUAGAUCCACUCCAUCCUACUUGGAUAACUGUGGUAAUUCUAGAGCUAAUACAUGCACUCGAGCCCCGACUGCCCCGUCAAACGGGCAGAAGGGGUGCUUUUAUUAGAUCAAAACCAGUCGGGACGCCGUCAAAAAGCGGACCGUACCAUUUUGGUGACUCUGGAUAACUUCACGCCGAUCGCACGGCCUUCGCGCCGGCGACGCAUCUUUCAAAUGUCUGCCUUAUCAACUGUCGAUGGUAGGUUACGCGCCUACCAUGGUUGCAACGGGUAACGGGGAAUCGGGGUUCGAUUCCGGAGAGGGAGCCUGAGAAACGGCUACCACAUCCAAGGAAGGCAGCAGGCGCGCAAAUUACCCACUCCCGGCACGGGGAGGUAGUGACGAAAAAUAACGAUACGGGACUCUUCCGAGGCCCCGUGAUUGGAAUGAGUACACUUUAAAUCCUUUAACGAGGAACCAUUGGAGGGCAAGUCUGGUGCCAGCAGCCGCGGUAACUCCAGCUCCAAUAGCGUAUAUUAAAGUUGUUGCGGUUAAAAAGCUCGUAGUCGGAUGUCUGUCUUCGGCCGGGCGGCGCCGCUCUGAAUCAAGGGUGUUGCGUUCUUUCGCUCUGGGAGACGGGUGUCAAAGCCCGACUCUCUUCACGGUCGGACAACAUCGCCGGAGUGGUGGCCGGUGGGUCGUCGGGUAAGCGGGGUCGUUCGUCGGUUUCGGCCGCGCGUGCUUCUCCGUCCGGCGGUUCGCUCCACCCGUCAAUCGUCCGGGGUGCCCUUCACCGGGUGUCUCGGGCGGCCGGCAACGUUUACUUUGAACAAAUUAGAGUGCUCAAAGCAGGUGUAUCCCAACGCCUGAAUAUCGCAGCAUGGAAUGAUGGAAUAGGACCUCGGUCCGAUUUUGCUGGUCUUUUACUUUUGGACCCGAGGUAAUGGUCAAUAGAGACGGACGGGGGCAUUCGUACUGCGGCGACAGAGGUGAAAUUCUUGGACCGCCGCAAGACGAACAACAGCGAAGGCAUUUGCCAAGAAUGUUUUCCUUGAUCAAGAACGAAAGUUAGAGGUUCGAAGGCGAUCAGAUACCGCCCUAGUUCUAACCAUAAACGAUGCCAACCAGCAAUCCGUCGGAGUUACUCCAAUGACUCGACGGGCAGCUUCCGGGAAACCAAAGUCUUUGGGUUCCGGGGGAAGUAUGGUUGCAAAGCUGAAACUUAAAGGAAUUGACGGAAGGGCACCACCAGGAGUGGAGCCUGCGGCUUAAUUUGACUCAACACGGGAAACCUCACCAGGCCCGGACACUGGAAGGAUUGACAGAUUGAGAGCUCUUUCUUGAUUCGGUGGGUGGUGGUGCAUGGCCGUUCUUAAUUGGUGGAGCGAUUUGUCUGGUUAAUUCCGAUAACGAACGAGACUCUAGCCUGCUAAAUAGGUGACGGGUUUUAUCAAUUGAAACCGAAGGGGGUACGGAGGCGUCGGGAUCAGGUGGCGGCGGUUUCGGGUGGAGCGAGGGGGGCCGUUUUAGUGUGGCCGUUGGUCGCGACGGUUCGUGUUUUUUUUUCGGUUCGCGGCUUGGGUCGUGCGUUUCGGCGUGCGGUGCUGGUCGUGGCUGGGGAAGGAUGCGGGUCGGAGUGGUUGCGGUCCGCGGCGGUUCUCUUCCUUCUCUCGGUCGUCGUCAUCCCCGGCGAUUUCUCCUGCUCUCGCGUCCGUCACGUGUCUUCUUAGAGGGACAAGCGGCGUCCAGCCGCGUGACAGUGAGCAAUAACAGGUCUGUGAUGCCCUUAGAUGUCCUGGGCCGCACGCGCGCUACACUGAAGGAAUCAGCGUGUUUCACUCUCCCUGUCCGAAAGGACCGGGUAACCGCUGAACCUCCUUCGUGGUUGGGAUUGGGGACUGCAAUGAUCCCCAUGAACCAGGAAUCCCUAGUAGGCGCGGGUCACUAGCCCGCGUCGAUUACGUCCCUGCCCUUUGUACACACCGCCCGUCGCUACUACCGAUUGAAUGAUUUAGUGAGGCCUUCGGACGGGCUUGUCGGGGCGCCGGUUCGCGGGGAGCAAUCCCUGCGUGUCCGGUGCCUACCAACGGCGAGACUGAAAGAUGGUCGAACUUGAUCCUUUAGAGGAAGUAAAAGUCGUAACAAGGUUUCCGUAGGUGAACCUGCAGAUGGAUCAUUA